Molecule: long non-coding RNA, 230 nt
Filed under: Olea europaea (common olive)
Lineage: Eukaryota; Viridiplantae; Streptophyta; Magnoliopsida; Lamiales; Oleaceae
Description: long non-coding RNA (OEUR_LNC003790)
Source: RNAcentral
CCCACAUGCAUAGGCACCACAUCACAUACUACUUUGUCACUAUAACUCCCAAUUGAGAAAUUAAUUAAAACUCUUCUAUUCACCCUAACUUCCCCACUUUCAUUCAACCAUUGCAACUUAUAAGGCCUAUGGUGUCUUAACAAUGCUAGUCCUAAUUUCUCAACUAAAGUUGUGCUAACUACAUUCGUGCAACUCCCACCAUCAAUAAUCAUACUACAUACCUUAUCGUU